This 253-nucleotide ribosomal RNA is filed under the name uncultured bacterium. RNAcentral's name for it is "partial 16S ribosomal RNA". It matches the Rfam family "Bacterial small subunit ribosomal RNA", at positions 524 to 776 of the family's 1533-position model. The record is from RNAcentral.
UACAUGGGGUGCAAACGUUGCUCGGAAUUAUUGGGCGUAAAGCGCACGUAGGCGGCUUUCUAAGUCGGGGGUGAAAGCCUGUGGCUCAACCACAGAAUUGCCUUCGAUACUGGACGGCUCGAGACCGGAAGAGGUCAGUGGAACUGCGAGUGUAGAGGUGAAAUUCGUAGAUAUUCGCAAGAACACCAGUGGCGAAGGCGGCUGACUGGUCCGGUUCUGACGCUGAGGCGCGAAAGCGUGGGGAGCAAACAGG